This 1583-nucleotide long non-coding RNA is filed under the name Homo sapiens (human). Its description in RNAcentral is "HSALNT0307049". Lineage: Eukaryota; Metazoa; Chordata; Mammalia; Primates; Hominidae. The record is from RNAcentral.
AGUUAGAGCACAGGAUCACAUAACCUCUCCCCUACCCCAUUCUUUUUCCCAGACGCUUUUUAUCAGCCUAAAUGAACCACCUCAUUUACUGGCUUCAAGUAGGAGUCUCAACUCUGAAUCCUAUCUUGUUUGGAGCCCUGUUAGUCUUUUUACUCACAGGAGUCACCACUGCUCUUGAUACCUGCGGACCUGUGACUUCAGCCCAGCUGAGCACUUCAUGAGCAUUCCAUUCUCAUCCAUCACAAUGAACAUUCUGAAUAUAACUAACUUCCUUCCUUCCUGCCUUCCUCCCUCCCUGCCUUCCCUUCCUUCCUGCCUUCCUUCUUCCUUCCUCCCUUUUUUCUUUUCUCCCUUCCUUCCUUCUUAAUAUGUUUUUGGCCUUUUCUUUAUAUAUGUGGCCUAGCAAUAUCCUGUGUUUGGAAAAGUAUAAACCUAAGGCAUCACCUUUACAGAAAAUAUCUUCCACGGAAACAUCUAAAGGCAAAAAUCCUUCAAAUUCAAAUUUAUCCAAUCAUUUCUUCUGCUUACUACCAUCCUAAAUCAUUUUUCUUUAGUAAGAUCUAUUAGUGUGAAGCUAUUAAGCUAUUAAUGUAUGUAUCAUAUUAAUGUAUUAAGACAUUAAGUGAGGAAGUAAAGUUGCAUUCACAGGCCUUGAACUUUUCCACAUCUCGAUUUUUACCCAUCAUCUCUGCAUAGUUCCCUAAGGCAGCCUUCAAAUGGUGAUGUUUCUUAUAAUCCAGAGUUCAGAAGUGGCUUCUCUUCAAUCUUUCUGUGGAAUUCUAAACCACGUGAUAAAGGAGCUGGUGGCCACAGAUCAGCCCUGGGGUUCAGAGGGAUCCUGACAGCUACUCCUCAAGAUCCUCUCUGUUGUGAUUCAUCCCCCCGGGGCCCUACAGUUUCUCCUUCCUGACUCUUACAUUUCUUUGGAUGGCAUCAUUAUUUACCUGUCUCCUCCCAUAGUUAGGUGCCAAGCACUGUGGAUUCUGCCUCUCAGUGUCCAGACACCCAUUUUCCUUCCCACUGUUCCUUCCCCAUGGAGAAGCCUGUGGCUGGCUGACAGCAGAGAGAGAUGCUCAACUUGGAGAAGGUGUUACCUGGGCCAGGUGGGGAAGGUUUGUUUGCAGAGCAAAGAAGUGAAGGAAGUAUUAACCCUUUGCAUGGCCUCCUGAGAAUCCGACAAGACCCUAUUCAACGUGAAAAAGAUGAGGAUGAAGACCUUUAUUAUGAUCCACUUCCAAGUAAUGAACACACUGGAGAAAGUCAGACAGUCAAAACAAUGUCCCAGACUCCGUGAAGUUCCUGGGUAGAGAAGGAGACAGACAUAUACCAUACCUAAUAAUUGGAUGUCCGAGAGAAUGAGAGAAUGGCAGAAAGAACUUUAGAGCAUGGGUAUGAUGGCUAGAGCUUGAGCAGCCAUUGUGGACAUCAGAUGAACUUGAAAGUGAAAACUAUGAGCUGAAUACGACAAAGCAAACAGAUAGAAAACUGGAUUCAUUAUGACAUUGCAAAGCUGCCAGACCAGCUCUAGUCUGCUUCCCCCUAAUCUUCCUUACUAAGAGAGAGAAAUAAACUUCCAUCUUCUU